Molecule: long non-coding RNA, 1059 nt
Organism: Quercus robur (English oak)
Lineage: Eukaryota; Viridiplantae; Streptophyta; Magnoliopsida; Fagales; Fagaceae
Exons: 4
Source: RefSeq, a predicted model, not a curated record
CCGAUGCUCUGCGUUCUCUCACUGUUUUAUUUUUCUUUUUAUUUUAGGCUCCAGAGAGACCGAAUACUUUCUUCUUUGCCGUUCUCUCUGCUUCUCUCAAUUCUCAGAAUCCCCAACCCGAUGCUCUGCGAUCUCUCACUAUUUUAUUUUUCUUUUUAUUUUAGGCUCCAAAGAGACCGAAUACUCUUUCUUCUUUGCUGUUCUCUCUGCUUCUCUCAAUUCUCAGAAUCCCUAAACCAUAGCCCAUGGUCACUCUCUCACUCCUUCAAUGGCAAAAAGUGCCAGCCUCCGGCCGCCACCGUCAUAUAUCGCCAAAGCCACUACCAAUGCAGGAAGUGAAGAUGUGGAAAUUUGUGGUGCUUUGGUCAGCCAAAACUAAGUUACUGGUGAAGGAUCUGUCAAUUGCAUGCCACAAAACCUGCAUAAGUUUGCAUACUCCUAAUUUGGCUUUCAAUAUUGGUCAUUGUCCCUAGCAGGCGAUACAGCAAGACUUCUUUUGCAUCUCUCACGCCCACAUGAACCACAUUAAGGCUGAGGCCUUGGGAAUUGCUGAAUUCCCAAUACUAGGCUGCAUCAGGAAUAUCCAAGUUGGGGUCAAAGGUACAAUCUUUUCAUCAAGGAUUUUGAGGAGUAUAUAAAUUUAAUUCUAGAUGAUGCUGGAAAAGUCAACAUCAAGAGGAAGAGCAAAAAACUUUAGAUGGGUUCAUUUUCCUUUACUUUUAAUCUCCCAAAUGUACAUGCUUUGAACAUGGUACAUCUAUUUUGUUAUGGGUUGAUUACAUCAAAAAAAAAUGUAAAGGGUAAAUUCUUCUUAAGAGAUGCAACACAACAGCCACCUCUCUCUCUCUCUCUCGCAAUAAUGGAAAGUGAUGAUUUUAGCAAUGGUGUAAAUCGGCAUUAUGUUGCCUUUUCAAUUCCAUUAAGGUCUAGCAUCUUUGUUUACUGGCAAUGUUAGAAUUUAGAUACAUCUUGGACAUCAAGAAUGAUUAAUAUAAUUUAUGAAAGAUAUUUGAUUGAAUGAGUAUGAAAACUAUAUUUGUGUAAUUAAUUGUAUUGGAU